ACAACCCUGAACGGUGGAUCACUCGGCUCGCGGGUCGAUGAAGAACGCAGCAAAUUGCGCGUCGACAUGUGAACUGCAGGACACAUGAACAUCGACAUUUCGAACGCACAUUGCGGUCCUUGGAUUUCCAAUCCCGGACCACGCCUGGCUGAGGGUCGGCUUAUGCCA
RNAcentral lists this ribosomal RNA (168 nucleotides) under Pseudophoraspis sp. VAM-2014. RNAcentral describes it as "5.8S ribosomal RNA". It matches the Rfam family "5.8S ribosomal RNA". From Rfam's summary of the family: 5.8S ribosomal RNA (5.8S rRNA) is a component of the large subunit of the eukaryotic ribosome. The record is from RNAcentral. Lineage: Eukaryota; Metazoa; Arthropoda; Insecta; Blattodea; Blaberidae.